UGAAAAUUGAAACGACACACAGUUAAUGUGUGUUCGAGUCUCUCAAAUUUUCGCAAUCAGAAGUGAAACAUCUUCGGGUUGUGAGGNCACUAUCGUUAACUGAAUACAUAGGUUAACGAGGCGAACCGGGGGAACUGAAACAUCUAAGUACCCCGAGGAAAAGAAAUCAACCGAGAUUCCCCCAGUAGCGGCGAGCGAACGGGGAGCAGCCCAGAGUCUGAAUCAGCUUGUGUGUUAGUGGAACGGUCUGGAAAGUCCGACGGUACAGGGUGAUAGUCCCGUACACCAAAAUGCACAGGCUGUGAACUCGAAGAGUAGGGCGGGACACGUGGUAUCCUGUCUGAAUAUGGGGGGACCAUCCUCCAAGGCUAAAUACUCCUGACUGACCGAUAGUGAACCAGUACCGUGAGGGAAAGGCGAAAAGAACCCCGGCGAGGGGAGUGAAAAAGAACCUGAAACCGUGUACGUACAAGCAGUGGGAGCACCUUCGGGUGUGACUGCGUACCUUUUGUAUAAUGGGUCAGCGACUUAUAUUCUGUAGCAAGGUUAACCGUAUAGGGGAGCCGCAGGGAAACCGAGUCUUAACUGGGCGUUAAGUUGCAGGGUAUAGACCCGAAACCCGGUGAUCUAGCCAUGGGCAGGUUGAAGGUUGGGUAACACUAACUGGAGGACCGAACCGACUAAUGUUGAAAAAUUAGCGGAUGACUUGUGGCUGGGGGUGAAAGGCCAAUCAAACCGGGAGAUAGCUGGUUCUCCCCGAAAGCUAUUUAGGUAGCGCCUCGUGAAUUCAUCUUCGGGGGUAGAGCACUGUUUCGGCUAGGGGGUCAUCCCGACUUACCAACCCGAUGCAAACUACGAAUACCGAAGAAUGUUAUCACGGGAGACACACGGCGGGUGCUAACGUCCGUCGUGAAGAGGGAAACAACCCAGACCGCCAGCUAAGGUCCCAAAGUCAUGGUUAAGUGGGAAACGAUGUGGGAAGGCACAGACAGCCAGGAUGUUGGCUUAGAAGCAGCCAUCAUUUAAAGAAAGCGUAAUAGCUCACUGGUCGAGUCGGCCUGCGCGGAAGAUGUAACGGGGCUAAACCAUGCACCGAAGCUGCGGCAGCGACACUAUGUGUUGUUGGGUAGGGGAGCGUUCUGUAAGCCUGCGAAGGUGACCUGUGAGGGUUGCUGGAGGUAUCAGAAGUGCGAAUGCUGACAUAAGUAACGAUAAAGCGGGUGAAAAGCCCGCUCGCCGGAAGACCAAGGGUUCCUGUCCAACGUUAAUCGGGGCAGGGUGAGUCGACCCCUAAGGCGAGGCCGAAAGGCGUAGUCGAUGGGAAACAGGUUAAUAUUCCUGUACUUGGUGUUACUGCGAAGGGGGGACGGAGAAGGCUAUGUUAGCCGGGCGACGGUUGUCCCGGUUUAAGCAUGUAGGCUGGUUAUCCAGGCAAAUCCGGAUAAUCAAGGCUGAGGUGUGAUGACGAGGCACUACGGUGCUGAAGUAACAAAUGCCCUGCUUCCAGGAAAAGCCUCUAAGCAUCAGGUAACAUCAAAUCGUACCCCAAACCGACACAGGUGGUCAGGUAGAGAAUACCAAGGCGCUUGAGAGAACUCGGGUGAAGGAACUAGGCAAAAUGGUGCCGUAACUUCGGGAGAAGGCACGCUGGUGUGUAGGUGAAGUCCCUGCGGAUGGAGCUGAGACCAGUCGAAGAUACCAGCUGGCUGCAACUGUUUAUUAAAAACACAGCACUGUGCAAACACGAAAGUGGACGUAUACGGUGUGACGCCUGCCCGGUGCCGGAAGGUUAAUUGAUGGGGUUAUCCGUAAGGAGAAGCUCUUGAUCGAAGCCCCGGUAAACGGCGGCCGUAACUAUAACGGUCCUAAGGUAGCGAAAUUCCUUGUCGGGUAAGUUCCGACCUGCACGAAUGGCGUAAUGAUGGCCAGGCUGUCUCCACCCGAGACUCAGUGAAAUUGAACUCGCUGUGAAGAUGCAGUGUACCCGCGGCAAGACGGAAAGACCCCGUGAACCUUUACUAUAGCUUGACACUGAACAUUGAGCCUUGAUGUGUAGGAUAGGUGGGAGGCUUUGAAGCGUGGACGCCAGUCUGCGUGGAGCCAACCUUGAAAUACCACCCUUUAAUGUUUGAUGUUCUAACGUUGGCCCCUUACCGGGGUUGCGGACAGUGUCUGGUGGGUAGUUUGACUGGGGCGGUCUCCUCCCAAAGCGUAACGGAGGAGCACGAAGGUUAGCUAAUCCUGGUCGGACAUCAGGAGGUUAGUGCAAUGGCAUAAGCUAGCUUGACUGCGAGCGUGACGGCGCGAGCAGGUGCGAAAGCAGGUCAUAGUGAUCCGGUGGUUCUGAAUGGAAGGGCCAUCGCUCAACGGAUAAAAGGUACUCCGGGGAUAACAGGCUGAUACCGCCCAAGAGUUCAUAUCGACGGCGGUGUUUGGCACCUCGAUGUCGGCUCAUCACAUCCUGGGGCUGAAGUAGGUCCCAAGGGUAUGGCUGUUCGCCAUUUAAAGUGGUACGCGAGCUGGGUUUAGAACGUCGUGAGACAGUUCGGUCCCUAUCUGCCGUGGGCGCUGGAGAAUUGAGGGGGGCUGCUCCUAGUACGAGAGGACCGGAGUGGACGCAUCACUGGUGUUCGGGUUGUCAUGCCAAUGGCACUGCCCGGUAGCUAAAUGCGGAAGAGAUAAGUGCUGAAAGCAUCUAAGCACGAAACUUGCCCCGAGAUGAGUUCUCCCUGAGACUUUAAGUCUCCUGAAGGAACGUUAAAGACGAUGACGUUGAUAGGCCGGGUGUGUAAGCGCAGCGAUGCGUUGAGCUAACCGGUACUAAUGAACCGUGAGGCUUAACC
Molecule: ribosomal RNA, 2843 nt
Filed under: Klebsiella pneumoniae
Lineage: Bacteria; Pseudomonadati; Pseudomonadota; Gammaproteobacteria; Enterobacterales; Enterobacteriaceae
Description: bacterial LSU rRNA
Rfam family: Bacterial large subunit ribosomal RNA
Source: RNAcentral